CCAGGCACUUCUGUAUGAAAUAAAGUCACACGUCUGCUCUGGUCACCCUGACAGCUCCUGUGACAGACAUUUCCAAAUCAACUUUCCAGAAGCCACAUCUUGAGUCAACUGGAGAAUGACACCUAAGUGGUUGAAGGGAAAGUGAGAAGACAAUUUGGCACAGAUUAUUGGUGGACAGUAAGCUGGUUUUAAGACGUUGAAAAUUCACUCGGAUGAUGGAAGAAAUGCAGUAUCAACAAACUUACCUUGACAUGUAACAUCAAGCCUGCUAUUAAAACUCUGGAGUGUUCAUCCUCA
Molecule: long non-coding RNA, 297 nt
Organism: Peromyscus eremicus (cactus mouse)
Lineage: Eukaryota; Metazoa; Chordata; Mammalia; Rodentia; Cricetidae
Exons: 2
Source: RefSeq, a predicted model, not a curated record